UGGGGGGUUUCUGGGGUUUGGGAUGGAUUUGGGAUGGAUUUAUGGGGGUUUGGGAUGGAGUUAUGGAGGUUUGGGGUGGAGUUAUGGGGGUUUGGGGUGGGAGUCUUCUGCUCCAUUGAUGCCAACAUGACCUUCGCCGAGAUCGUCACGCCCUUCAACAUCGACAGGCUGCAGGAGCUGGUGCGCAGGGGGAACAGUCAGUACCCGGGGGCCAAGUACAUCAUCCGGGACAACGGGGACCGGAUCGACCUGCGCUUCCACCCCAAGCCCAGCGACCUCCACCUGCAGAUUGGGUACAAGGUGAGCACCCAAAACCCCCAAAAUCCCAAAAAUCCCAAAUAUGGGGGACCCUAAAAUCCCAAACCCAGCCACCUGCAGAUCGGGUACAAGGUGAGCACCCCAAAAUCCCCAAAAUAUGGGGGACCCUAAAAUCCCAAACCCAGCGACCUGCACCUGCAGAUCGGGUACAAGGUGAGCACCCCAAAAACCCCAAAAACCCCAAACCCAGUGAUCUGCACCUGCAGAUCGGGUACAAGGUGAGCACCAAAAACCCAAAAACCCCAAAAAACCAAACCCAAAAACUCCAAAAACCCAGUGACCUGCACCUGCAGAUCGGAUACAAGGUGAGCACCCCAAAAUCCCAAAAUCCCAAAAUCCCCAAAAUCCCCAAGCCCAGCGACCUGCACCUGCAGAUCGGGUACAAGGUCAGCACCCCAGAAACACAAAAACCCAAAUCUGGGGCACCCCAAAAACCCCAAACCCAGUGACCUGCACCUGCAGAUCGGCUACAAGGUGAGCACCCAAAAUCCCCAAAUACCCCAAAAACCCAAAAACCCCAAGCCCAGCGACCUCCACCUGCAGAUUGGGUACAAGGUGAGCACCAAAAACCCCAAAAACCCCAAAAUCCCCAAAAUCCCCAAGCCCAGCGACCUGCACCUGCAGAUCGGGUACAAGGUGAGCACCCCAAAAACCCAAAAACCCCAAAAACCCAGAAUCCCCAAACCCAGCGACCUCCACCUGCAGAUCGGCUACAAGGUGAGCACCCAAAAACCCAAAAAUCCCAAAAGACCAAAAUCCCAAAAACCCAGUGACCUGCACCUGCAGAUUGGCUACAAGGUGAGCACCAAAAACCCAAAAACCCCAAACCCAGCCACCUGCACCUGCAGAUUGGGUACAAGGUGAGCACCCCAAAACCCCAAAAAUCCCAAAAACCCCAAACCCAGCCACCUGCACCUGCAGAUCGGGUACAAGGUCAGCACCCAAAAACCCCAAAAUCCCCAAAAAUCCCAAAAACCCAGUGACCUGCACCUGCAGAUCGGGUACAAGGUGAGCAUCUAAAAACCCCAAAAAACCAAAAUAUGGGGGACCCUAAAAUCCCAAACCCAGCCACCUGCAGAUUGGGUAUAAGGUGAGCACCAAAAACCCCAAAAAUCAUAAAAGCCCAGCGACCUGCACCUGCAGAUCGGCUACAAGGUGAGCACCAAAAACCCAAAAUCCCAAAAAUCCCAAACCCAGCCACCUCUACCUGCAGAUUGGGUACAAGGUGAGCACCCAAAAACCCCAAAUACCCCAAAAUCCCUAAACCUCAGAAUCCCCAAACCCAGCGACCUGCACCUGCAGAUCGGCUACAAGGUGAGCACCAAAAACCCCAAAAACCCCAAAUAUGGGGGACCCUAAAAUCCCAAACCCAGCCACCUGCAGAUUGGAUACAAGGUCAGCACCCAAAAACCCCAAAAUCCCAAAAAACCAAAAUCCCCAGAAUCCCCA
Zonotrichia albicollis (white-throated sparrow) is the source of this 1767-nucleotide long non-coding RNA. The record is from Ensembl. NCBI's taxonomy places the organism in Eukaryota, Metazoa, Chordata, Aves, Passeriformes, Passerellidae.